GAACAAGCUACAUAGAGUACGAGGUGAAUGCCUAGGCGCUCUUGGCCGAAGAAGGACGCGGAGACCGGCGAAACGUUCAGGGGGAGCUGCAUACAAGCGAUGAGCCCUGAGAAUCCGAAUGGGGCAACCCCUCCAGAGUGAUGUCUGGAGACCUGCUGGUGAACACAUAGCCUGCAGGGGGGCAGCGGGUGAACUGAAACAUCUCAGUAGCCCGACGAGAAGAAAUCAAUUGAGAUUCCCGGAGUAGUGGCGAGCGAAACGGGAGGAGCCCAAACCAUCUGAUCGUUUGAUCGGGUGGGGUUGUAGGACCCACAACACGAAUGGAUCGACGACCUGAAUGUGCUGGAAAGCACAACCAGAGCGGGUGAUAGUCCUGUAAGGCAUGAUGAUGCAUUCCGGUGGGUAUCCUGAGUACCACGAGACACGAGAAACCUUGUGGGAAGCUGGGGGGACCACCCUCCAAGGCUCAAUACCAAGAGCGACCGAUAGUGAACCAGUACCGUGAGGGAAAGGUGAAAAGCACCCCGAGAGGGGGAUGAAAGAGAUCCUGAAACCACGUACUCACCAGCAGUCAGAGGCCACUCCUGCACGAGCAGGUCAGGGCUGAUGGCGUGCCUUUUGUAGAAUGAUCCGGCGAGUGCAUCGACGUUGCGGGUUAAGGAGCGGCAAAGCUCUGGAGCCUGAGGGAAACCGAGUCUGAAGAGGGCGAGCGUUGGUUUGCAAGAACCACACGUAGCGGCGAUGCGACCCGAAACCAUGUGAGCUAUCCAUGACCAGAGUGAAGCGGAUGUGAAAGUCCGUCGAGGCUCGAACCCACCAGUGUUGCAAAACUGGGGGAUGAGUUGUGGAUAGAGGAGAAAUUCCAACCGAACAUGGAGAUAGCUGGUUCUCCCCGAAAUGCAUUGAGGUGCAGCCACGGGUAUUGUGUUCUGGAGGUAGAGCUCUGCAUGAGCUAGGGGCCAAGUGCUGGUUACCAAACUCAAGCAAACUGCGAAUGCCAGAAUCAUAGACCCGUGAGUGAGACGAUGGGGGCUAAGCUUCAUCGUCGAAAGGGAAACAACCCAGAUCAUCAGCUAAGGUCUCAAAAUCGAUGCUCAGUGUCAAAGGGAGUUCAUCCGCCACAACAGCCAGGAUGUUGGCUUAGAAGCAGCCAUCAUUGAAAGAGUGCGUAAGAGCUCACUGGUCGAGUGGAUGGGCACCGACAACGUAACGAGGCUCAAGCAUCGUACCGAAGCUAUGAAUCCCUGGUGUGAAACCAGGGAUGGUAGGGGAGCGUUCUUGUCGCAGAGAAGCCAGAUCGUGAGGACUGGUGGAGUGACAAGAAGUGAGAAUGCCGGAAUGAGUAGCGUAAUGCGUGUAUGAACCACGCACACCGCAAGCCUGAGGGUUCCUGGGCAACGUCAGACGACCCAGGGUCAGUCGGGUCCUAAGCCGAGGACGUCACAGUCGUAGGCGAUGGAAAGCAGGUAGAAAGUCCUGCACCGGAGCAGAUCACAAUGAGUGAUGAGGGGACGCGGUAAGGAAGGUGAGCCCAUCGAAUGGACAGGAUGGGUGUGCCGCACGAAGUGCGUGACCGAGGCAAAUCCCGGUCGCAUGAGCAUGACGACGGUACCGAGCGGGCGUAAGCUCGCGGAAGUCAUCGACCCCUAUGCUGCCAAGAAAAGCCUCUAACCAGAUCUCGCUCUGCCCGUACCGCAAACCGACACCGGUAGGCUGGGGGAACUCCCCCAAGGUGAACGAGCGAACCUCUGUCAAGGAACUCGGCAAAUUGACCCCGUACCUUCGGAAGAAGGGGUGCCCUAGUAACGUGACCGAUAUGGAAGCGUGAGGGGGCCGCAGUAAAUCGGCUCAAGCGACUGUUUACCAAAAACACAGGUCUCUGCGAACACGCAAGUGGAAGUAUAGGGGCUGACUCCUGCCCAGUGCCGGAAGGUNNNNNNNNNNNNNNNNNNNNNNNNNNNNNNNNNNNNNNNGUAAGUUCCGACCCGCACGAAAGGAGUAACGACUUGAUCGCUGUCUCGACAGGGGGCUCGGCGAAAUUGAAGUACCCGUGAAGAUACGGGUUCCCCACGACAGGACAAAAAGACCCCGUGGAGCUUUACUACACCCUGGCCUUGAGAUGAGGCAGACGUUACGUAGCAUAGGUGGGAGCCUGGGAAGUCACCCUUGUGGGGGUGAUGGAGGCAAGCAUGAAAUACCACUUUUCGUAUGGUUUGUCUCUCAUGGCUGACCAUGAACUGGCAGACAGACAGGACCAGGCGGGUAGUUUGACUGGGGCGGUCGCCUCCCAAAGAGUAACGGAGGCGCUCAAAGGUUCUCUCAGGGUGGAUGGACAUCACCCUUACAGAGUGUAAAGGCACAAGAGAGCUUGACUGCGAGGCAAACAGGCCGAGCAGGGACGAAAGUCGGACUUAGUGAUCCCACAUUCCCGAGUGGAAGGAGUGUGGCUCAACGGAUAAAAGCUACCCCGGGGAUAACAGGCUUAUCUUGCCCAAGAGUUCACAUCGACGGCAAGGUUUGGCACCUCGAUGUCGGCUCGUCGCAUCCUGGGGCUGGAGUUGGUCCCAAGGACGCGAGCUGGGUUCAGAACGUCGCGAGACAGUUCGGUCUCUAUCCGUCGUGGGCGUAGGAAGAUUGAGGAGCGUCAUCUCCAGUACGAGAGGACCGAGAUGGCUCGACCGCUGGUGCGCCAGUUGGGGUGCCCACCCCACAGCUGGAUAGCUAUGUCGAGAAGGGAUAAGCGCUGACAGCAUCUAAGCGCGAAGCCGCUCCCAAGAUGAGUCUUCCCACUUCGUUUGAGGAUAAGAUCCCAGGGAGAUUACCUGGUCGAUAGACCGUACGCAUACGCCUGGUAACAGGUUGAACGAAACGGCCCUAAUGAUCGAACGGCUUG
RNAcentral lists this ribosomal RNA (2893 nucleotides) under Chloroflexota bacterium. RNAcentral describes it as "Chloroflexi bacterium 23S ribosomal RNA". It matches the Rfam family "Bacterial large subunit ribosomal RNA". Lineage: Bacteria; Bacillati; Chloroflexota. The record is from RNAcentral.